GCCUACGGCCAUACCACCCUGAAAGCGCCUGAUCUCGGAAGCUAAGCAGGGACGGGCUUGGUUAGUACCUGGGUGGGAGACAGCCUGGGAAAUCCUGGUGCUGUAGGCU
Xenopus tropicalis (tropical clawed frog) is the source of this 109-nucleotide ribosomal RNA. The record is from Ensembl. NCBI's taxonomy places the organism in Eukaryota, Metazoa, Chordata, Amphibia, Anura, Pipidae.